CGGCGUGUAGCUCAGAUUGGUGAGAGCGCUCGGUUGAAACCCGAGAGGUCGCAGGUUCGAGCCCUGCCGCGCCGGCCA
This 78-nucleotide transfer RNA is filed under the name Gordonia phage OneUp. Its description in RNAcentral is "tRNA-Phe". It matches the Rfam family "tRNA". Rfam says of the family: Transfer RNA (tRNA) molecules are approximately 80 nucleotides in length. The record is from RNAcentral. Lineage: Duplodnaviria; Heunggongvirae; Uroviricota; Caudoviricetes.